Molecule: ribosomal RNA, 303 nt
Filed under: uncultured bacterium
Lineage: Bacteria
Description: partial 16S ribosomal RNA
Rfam family: Bacterial small subunit ribosomal RNA
Source: RNAcentral
AGCAGUAGCCACGGGAAUACGGAGGGUGCAAGCGUUAAUCGGAAUUACUGGGCGUAAAGCGCACGCAGGCGGUCUGACAAGUCAGAUGUGAAAUCCCCGGGCUUAACCUGGGAACUGCAUUCGAAACUGUCAGGCUGGAGUCUUGUAGAGGGGGGUGGAAUUCCAGGUGUAGCGGUGAAAUGCGUAGAGAUCUGGAGGAAUACCGGUGGCGAAGGCGGCCCCCUGGACAAAGACUGACGCUCAGGUGCGAAAGCGUGGGGAGCAAACAGGAUUAGAGACCCCAGUAGUCCCUGUCUCUUAUAC